GGACCUGGAAGAGGGCAGGCGUGAGCAACCAUGGCCGGGCAGCACCUCCUGGUACCCCGGCUGGAGGGCGUUUCUCGGGAGCAGUUCAUGCAGCACCUCUACCCACAGAACUUUACCUUUUGACCAAUUGGUCCAGAGGGCAGCUGAAGAGAAGCAUAAAGAAUUCUUUGUUUCAGAGGAUGAGAAAUACUACUUACGGUCACUUGGAGAAGACCCUAGAAAGGAUGUUGCAGAUAUCAGAAAGCAGUUUCCUUUGUUGAAAGGAGAUAUUAAGUUUCCAGAAUUCUUCAAAGAGGAACAAUUCUUUUCCAGUGUUUUUCGAAUUAGUUCACCAGGAUUACAACUAUGGACUCAUUAUGAUGUAAUGGAUAAUUUGUUAAUACAAGUGACAGGAAAAAAGCGUGUUGUACUCUUCAGUCCUCGAGAUGCCCAGUAUUUAUAUUUAAAAGGUACUAAAUCAGAAGUACUGAAUAUAGAUAACCCAGACUUGGCUAAAUAUCCACUUUUUUCCAAGGCUAGAAGAUAUGAAUGUUCCCUUGAAGCUGGUGAUGUAUUAUUCAUUCCUGCUUUAUGGUUCCAUAAUGUAAUUUCUGAAGAGUUUGGAGUGGGAGUGAAUAUCUUUUGGAAGCACCUUCCAUCUGAAUGCUAUGAUAAAACAGAUACCUAUGGAAACAAAGAUCCUACAGCAGCAUCAAGAGCUGCACAAAUUCUGGACAGAGCCUUGAAAACACUGGCUGAAUUACCAGAGGAAUAUAGGGACUUCUAUGCACGACGAAUGGUCCUACACAUUCAAGACAAAGCCUACAGCAAGAACUCUGAGUAAAUAAUGAAGUGAAUGCCAUGCACAUCAACCCUUUAGUAAGGUAUAACGAUAUAAAUUAAAGAUUUUGUUAAAAUAGGAAAGAUACAUCAGAUUUACAGAUUAUGUAAGUACGAAGGGGUGUUUUUGUGGAUUCUACUUGAUACAGAUUGUUAUAAUUAAAGAAUGAUGUGCUGGGACCACUCUUUAACACUCAGAUGCUGACCGCUAAAAGUCCAACUUAAAAUGACUUAAAAACAGUAAGAAAAUAUGAAAUCUAUUGACAGAAUGGGCUGCAGUGUUUCUGAUCCAGUGAUUCAGUAAUGUCAUCAAGAACCUUGGGAGCACGCCUCCACACCCCACCCCCUUUUCAACCACAACAUUGGCAUCAUCCUAAGGCUGGCUACCCUCGUGGUCAUGGGAUGAUUGCCAGUAGCAGUUGGAGCCUUGUGCAUCUUCAUUUACAUGCAGCGGAAGAGUCAGGCUGGAUUCUAGGGGCCCCGUCCUAAUAUGAGGAAGCCUUCCCAGAAUUCACUUGCCAUAUCCUUAGGUCUCAUUGCUCUAAAGUAACUUAGACCUGUCCAUCCCUGAGCCAGUCACUGGCAAAGGGUCUAGAAUAACCUUUAGGGCAGUCAGGUCCGCUGGAGCUGAGAGUAGAAGUCGAGGCCACAUGAGGGAUAUAUGGGGACAGAAAGGAUAGUUUUAAAUCAUGGUUCUGAUAGGAAAAACAUGAGCAACCCACAGUAUCUAUUACAUUUGCCUAGAAGCAGAAUUUUUUGAGGAACUUUAAAAAAUGUACAGAUACCUAGGUCCCAACUUUGUAGACUGAUUCAAGAGUGUUUGGGAUUUGGUAUAUGAACUUAAUAGACCUCACAGGGUGUUUUGAUGCAUAAUCAGAGCUGAGAUCAACUGGAGUUGAUGAUAGUGACUUGGAUUAUUAGUUUUGUGAUUAGUCCAAAACAAAUGUUUAAUCUGAUCUUGACUUUUCUUGCCACCCAGUGUGUCAGGUCUAUCCUUUUUUUUUGUUUUUGAAUGUUAGAAAAUAAAUGUUUUAAUUUAUACCUAUGUCUAAACCUUAGCCUAGUUAAAGAUUUCCCAACUUUUUUUUCUACCGAUCCCUUUUUUAAAAGAAAAAUUACUUAAAGAAUGAAUAAAUGAGAUCCUAAAAGUGUUGUCAUUGAAGACAGUGAGCCAUUGUGUGUGGAUCUCUGCUUUUCUUUGUUUUGUACCUAGUAAUUAUAUUGCAGUGUCAUUGAAGACCAGAUAAUCUUCGCUGAACAUAAAUGUGUUCAUCUAAAGCAAUCUCUUAGUAUAUCAAUUUGGUGCAUUUUAAUUAGAGAAAAUCAUUUUCUCUAUCGAAGAGAAUCCAUUCACUCAUGUCCUAUAAAUUAUAGUAAAUAAGGAAAAGCAUAUAUAUAACAUUCUGAAUUUCCUAGGUGUCUUUGGAAACAGGUAAGUUACUCAGGUGAAUAAAGGUGAAAAAAGUCUUGUCAGAAAAGGAAUGAUUAUAUUAGCCAAAUUUAAUUACCAGAUUUUGAUCUUCAUUAAGCAAAGCAAAGAACUUCUUUACUGAUUCCUUGUCCUUCAGUAAGGAAAAAGACAAAACUAUCCUUAGUUUACACAAUAUUUAUGGUCAGUUUUUAAUAAAUCUUGUUUUUUUCUUAACCAGCAAGAGAAUUGAUACAAAGUAUAAAUCCAGAGUCAUGUAGAAAACUUGGAAGUAUUAAUAGAAUAGAUUACAGUUUGUGCACUG
This 2552-nucleotide small RNA is filed under the name Pongo abelii (Sumatran orangutan). RNAcentral describes it as "processed transcript". The record is from RNAcentral. Lineage: Eukaryota; Metazoa; Chordata; Mammalia; Primates; Hominidae.